ACAAAAAUGCACAUAUUGUGAGCUCGAUGAGUAGGGCGGGACACGUGGUAUCCUGUCUGAAUAUGGGGGGCCCAUCCUCCAAGGCUAAAUACUCCUGACUGACCGAUAGUGAACCAGUACCGUGAGGGAAAGGCGAAAAGAACCCCGGCGAGGGGAGUGAAAAAGAACCUGAAACCGUGUACGUACAAGCAGUGGGAGCACGCUUAGGCGUGUGACUGCGUACCUUUUGUAUAAUGGGUCAGCGACUUAUAUUCUGUAGCAAGGUUAACCGAAUAGGGGAGCCGAAGGGAAACCGAGUCUUAACUGGGCGUUAAGUUGCAGGGUAUAGACCCGAAACCCGGUGAUCUAGCCAUGGGCAGGUUGAAGGUUGGGUAACACUAACUGGAGGACCGAACCGACUAAUGUUGAAAAAUUAGCGGAUGACUUGUGGCUGGGGGUGAAAGGCCAAUCAAACCGGGAGAUAGCUGGUUCUCCCCGAAAGCUAUUUAGGUAGCGCCUCGUGAAUUCAUCUCCGGGGGUAGAGCACUGUUUCGGCAAGGGGGUCAUCCCGACUUACCAACCCGAUGCAAACUGCGAAUACCGGAGAAUGUUAUCACGGGAGACACACGGCGGGUGCUAACGUCCGUCGUGAAGAGGGAAACAACCCAGACCGCCAGCUAAGGUCCCAAAGUCAUGGUUAAGUGGGAAACGAUGUGGGAAGGCCCAGACAGCCAGGAUGUUGGCUUAGAAGCAGCCAUCAUUUAAAGAAAGCGUAAUAGCUCACUGGUCGAGUCGGCCUGCGCGGAAGAUGUAACGGGGCUAAACCAU
Molecule: ribosomal RNA, 807 nt
Filed under: Shigella sonnei
Lineage: Bacteria; Pseudomonadati; Pseudomonadota; Gammaproteobacteria; Enterobacterales; Enterobacteriaceae
Description: partial 23S ribosomal RNA
Rfam family: Bacterial large subunit ribosomal RNA
Source: RNAcentral